CAGCAGGGGAGAGGAGAGUUAGGUGGUUUAUCUGCUGACAUCCAAUCAUCUGGUGCCUGAAAAGAAGCAUCUGGGAAUGCAUUUCAAGAAAUGAAGCUAAAAAUCCUGUGUUUGCUCCUGGUCACAAGUCUCCUCCUCCCCGUGUCAACACCUUGGAAUCAUUUGUAUUCUAAUUCUUUUGUCUCCUGGUAACUAAAGGGAGCUAAGAUAAUCAGUGCAGCUUUAGUACUUCUCCAGCCUGAAGAAGAAAAAGUUAUCAAACAACAAAACUCAAUUUAAAUUGAGAUACAAGCGGAGGAGUUCUCUGACUGCAAUUGGGGCUUGAGUAAACCAGAGCUCACCUGGUUUACAUCACUUGUCAUUUCACUCUGGGCAUUGAAUUCUGUCCUGACCCCCACAGAGUAGUUCGUGAACAACUCUUCUGGGUUACUGAAAUGCAAUGGCAUUUUGGAAAGGAGCCUGCACAUUUUCAGAACUUUUUUGGAAAUACGUUUGUGUUGGUGAUCCAGACCACCCACCAAAGCCAUGGGGGCUGUCAGGGGACACCUACCUCCAGGGCAAGUCAUCCAUUUGCUGGUCAGCAACCAGUAGUAACCGUCCUUCAGAUGGGAAUUCUAAGAUGACGCUAAAGGGCACUGGACCAGUACGGUCAGCACUGGUAACAGUCCUGGACCAGGUCCACACAGAGGCUGUGAAAACAGAAGAUUUAAAGAAGAGAUGAGGGAAACGAGGUUGCCAUAGAAAGAGACAAAGAAAGAAAGCAAUUGUGUGUAAAAUAGAGUUCUUUUCCAGCUCCAGAAAGAUUGAUGGUCACUCUUGACCAAAUCAAGAGCACAGGGGGUUAAUUAGUGAUUUUUCAUCGUGCUAUUUAAACCUCAAAAAUUUCCUAGAGAUUCUCAGAUAUGUAGCAAUGUGUAAAUUGAUGGCUUGCAUAUCAUGUAACUGGUUACAAACCUGACUUGGGUAUGUAACCAAUGGGGCCUGAUAUGUCCUGUUGGAAACUUAUGCCUGGUGUCUCCUGAAACCAAGAUUUCUUGCACAUAACUGCUGUUUCAUGAUCCACAAAGUGUGUCUCGUGUGACUCAAAACCUACUAAGUCUCUCCUAGCAGGUGCUCGGCCCAGAUGUGUGCCUGCCAUUCCUUUGCUUUACCACAUCCUUCACCUUUAUUAAAGUCUCUCAAGGAUGUGUUCUGUGGAGUCUGAGUCCUUCUAAUUAUCUGAACCCAUGUAAGCAUGAGAUGCCACCUUGGAUCACAAGAGCAUCCCUCUUAUCAUGACCCAUUCCAUCACUUGUCCUUGUCACCUAUUUCCAAACACCAAAUUCACCUUUACAUAAUUUGAACAGGCUUCUAUUGUUGCAACCAAAUGCUUUCCUGGGGCAAAAACAAUAAAAAUGUGCUUUUGAGCAAGGCUACAUAAUAUGUGUCACCCCGGAGAGAUGCAGAGAUUGCACAGAUGAAAACUUGGAUAUAUACUCUCUGGAUUAUUUUAACUUGUGUGGAAGGCUCCUGGAAGGAGAGCUCUGGAAACAAACUCAGUGCCACCCCCGCACGUCCCCCAAGGUAAAAAGAGUCAUAAGUCAGAACUGAGGAGUGGGCUACAGUAUCGUUGACUAUGAAACUGGAGUUGGAAAUGCAGCUGAAGUCCACUGGAGCCAAGAUCCUUUCCCUUCUUUUCGAUAAGACUCUGGCCUUGCUGACAGGAAGCAUGACAUGAGAAAAUCAGGAGGUGUGUAAACUAUCCCAUUAAAUGGAGGAGUGCUCUCACGCGUGUAAGAUCUUCUGGAAUGGUAACACAUGCUUGGAGUGAGAAAAGUGAGAGCUGAGCUCUUCCCCCAGCUGGAUAGGGAGAGCAAGACAAUAAGAAAAAUGCGGUACUGAAGGACAUAUUUGUGUGCUUGCAUGCCUUUCGUUGUUUGGAAAUGCCUACCUUAUUUGCCAGCUUCCUUGCCUUGAAAGGUUGGUGAGUCCCCAAGGGAGCACGCAUUUGGUUUUGUUUCAAGGUGAGAUGUCCAGGGUCUGGAUGGUGAUGUCUGAUGCCAGGCUCUGGCAGCCCAGGAUAGGCCACGGUGGUCCUAACCGGGUCUCCACCGCCAUCCCUACCCUCUCUCGGGGACCUGGGCACCCUGACCCCUGACCCUGCCCAUCUCGAGCAGCAUACCAUGCUCCCUCUCCAGGGCUUUGGAUAACAACGCAAGCCUUAUCUGUUGAGUUUUGUGAAUGCCUUCCAAAUACAGCUGGGUGCUCUGUGACUUUCCUGUCAACAAUUAGCCAGUCUUUAUAAACCAAUUCAUCAUAAUUCAUUCCUGGAAAAACCAUCCAAACUACCAUUAGAGUCUAGUGCCUCCUCCCAGGGAACAGGUGGAUUUUCCUAUCUGCAAUUUUAGAUAAUGCCCCCAGGGUUUACGAUCAAUCCGAUCUAGAAUUGUUACAAUGAACCAACUACUCAGGGGAGUCAGAAGGGGAAAAACGGUGCCAAGAACAAACAGGAUUCCACUUAGCUAACUCCUUCAUGAGCUCCUGGGUUACCCCUGUUCCAUAAACUUCAGCAUUCAGGGAGAUCUAGGCUUUCUGCUCCAAAAAAUAUUAGAAUAAAUUGAAAAGGAAACACAGAGACUCACAUGAGACAUUUAUGCCAAGGAAGGGAGGCGACAGAAACGGAGACAGUGUGUUCAGUAACAGGCCUCCAUUGCUUCUGGAUCAAAGGCAGCUGCCAUUCACCUUGUUGCUCUUGCCUUCCUCAAUGAGUGCUGUUGAACAACAAAAUUCAACUGAGUAAAUGUUAAAGAUCUUAUCGGCUUUCCUCAAUGAUUCAUGAGUCGAGCAGCACUCCAUCUAGCACAUAAAAAGGAGCUCCAAGUUGCUGCACAAAAUAAAAGACUUUCACAGCUGAGGGAAGUAGAGACAAGGAAAUUACAAAAAAAAAAAAAAGUGACCUGUGGCCAGGUGACUUUCCUUCAGGAAUGGCUGGGAUCCACCAGGCCGAUGACCACCCAAGUGGUCACCAGGUGACUCCUGGCUGAUGGGUUAAAGAUUCCAUUUCUGGGAGAGGUUGACUCCAUAAAUUAAAUCUUGGUUUAGUGACCUGGGACUUAGCAUAAGUGACUCAAUUUUGCUCCUGUUGUCUUGAUUUUAAUAAUGUUUUCAGAUCCUGUCUUUGAGUUUUCAGUAAUUUGUUUCCGAAACAGUAGGCAUAGUUUCUUUUUAAAAUCGUCCUUUUGUUUAUUUAUUUUUUUUACUGUGGUUGUACCCUGGUACUUGAAUACAUAGCUGAUAUUUUUAACCAAAUUAGAAACUUAUGACAGUUGUUUCUUCAAAAUCGCUUGAUUUAUUUUUACUUUCCUCGUCUGCUGAGCACCAAGUUUGCUAUGUUCAUACCUUUCUUCUUUGACCUACAGCCUGCGUGUUUUCUAUUGCAGGGGCUUCCAGCUGACCAAUCUCUCCCUGUAGAUCUGCUCUGUAGAUCAUCAUGUGAAUUUCGAUAUCCGAUAUUGUAUAUUUCAGUAGAGUUUUUCUGUUUUCUUCUUUUCCCCCGGUUUUUACUUUACUUUCUAAUCCUCCUCAUAUAUUCAUUCAUUACAUCUGUAUUUUCCUAUAGGCUCUUAAACAUAUUUUAUAGUUAAUUUAUGCUAAGUCCAGAAAGAUUUUCUGGGUUUUCUAUUAAACCUGGGUCACUUUUUAUCUAAGUUCAUCUAAAUGAUUCAGAGCUAUCUUAAUUGUAUAUGGAGCACUGUGGAUGAUACAUUGUAGAGACUGUAAAAUCUAUGCUCUUUCCUGAAACAUGUUGUUUUUUAUUAGCAGGUACUGAAAUGACUCUUGGAUCACCACAAAGCUGUAGAGGCUUUUGGUCUAGCUUUUCUGGACAGUGUUUAGACAUAUCCUUAAGCUCUUUGAGACUUCUCCCAUUGAUAGAUGUGGCCCAUGACCUCUCCUUGGAGUCUGGAUAGGACUUUGACUUGCUUAUAUUGGGGAAGGAUGUGACAGAUUGAUUCUGAUUGACUUCUGAGGCAAGGUCAGAGAAAGAGAUUGAGUGUCUCACUUGUUUUCUGGGAGACUCACCUAAGGACACGUGGGUCUGGUAGGUCAGCUUCCAUCUCGUUCAUUAGAUCACUUGACAUCUUCAGCCAUUACGUGGGCAAUCCAACAACCCUGAGUUCCUCUCUUCUUUUAUGAAGCCCAGGACACAUGGAAGGGCCACGAGUAAGUGCUCCACCCCCAAAUUCCAGCUUAAGUCCAGGAAAGCUAGCAGCAACUACUAGAUGUGAAGAGAGAUACCCUCAAGUAAUUCCAGCUCCUAGCCCCCAAGUCACCUUCACUGCCAAUCUUCUCAGCUAAAAGAGUCGCACAUCCUAUCCCCUUUCUUAUUUUGUCCAUGGGUGUUUUGUUUGUUUGUGAGUUUUUUUCUUUGUUCACUUACAUCUCCAGCAUAGUUCUUAAUUCUGGAAUACGAUCCUUACUACUGGGACACGGGUAUCGUGGGAUUUCAAAGAAAACCCAAAACAUUUAUCCAAUGUCCCUAACUUGGUGACAUUUCAACUAGAAUACUUUUUUAACAUUUGGAUGAUCUGGACACCUUGAUCAGCUUUUUCUCUGUCCAGGUACUGCCUUGCUCUGACAUCCUUAGCUUCUCCCUUCCUACACAGAUAUUCAGGACUGCCGACCCCAUGAUUUGAGGCACCUCCCUUUAUGGCCUUUUAUUUUCUUGGUUUUUCUUAUGCCGAAAUAUUGAUUUUGAACUACAUUUAACAUGAAUACUUAUGAGGUUUUUUUUAUUUUAAAUAAAGACAUAGAAACACACACACAUAUAUAGAUAGGGAUAUUAGAACAACAGCACCAGUGAAAUUGAAAUAAUAUCACUAGUAACAGUUGAAGGCCUUCCUUCCUCUUUCCUUCUUACGUUUCUUCCUUCCUUCUUUUCUUUCUUUCUCUUUAUCUUUUUCUUCUCCUGCUCACUUAGUUAUUUACUUAUUUAUGUAAGCAGUUGAGCUGUCUUUGUGAUAUAUCUUACUGUAAAAGUACAGUUAACUCAUGGCUUUUUAAAAUCUCUUGAAGAAAAUCCUUCUCAACAUGGUUAAGCCAACAACUCAAUACAUAGAUGAAAGCAUUUAUUAUGUUUUUAUUCCAAAAUGUCUAGAUUUCAUUCUUAAAUUGUAUUUAUCUCUGCAUUAUAAUUAUGCAACCCAUUCACAUGGCAUUAUUUCCACAGCUCUUAAUUUAACUUUUUCUAUUUAUUAACAUACUUGCAAAAGUGUAGUUCUCCUAUUCCUUUUUAAAUAAGCAAGGGCAUUUUAUAUAAACUUGUCUCUCCUUCUUUCUUUUUCCCCAAACAAUAUACCCUACCUAUACUCUCCUUGCAGUAUGUAGAAAUAAUAUUAAUUACUUUUCACACCAUUGUUGGGACAUACUAUACUUUUUUUUUCAAGCAAUUCCCUAUGGAAUACCAGUUUUCCUCCUGUCUUUCACUGUUGUAAAUACUGUGGCAAUGGAUGUCCUGACUUACAUAGUUUUUGUACAAUUGCUAGUAUAUUUUUGCACAUGGAUUCCUGGAAAUGGGGUUGCUUAUAUAAAGGGGAAAGACAUAGGGUAAUCUUUCUCAAUAUUGCUAAAGUCCCUGUAUAAGAUUUGCUCCAUUUCACAUUCCCACAAGAGCCAUGUGUCUCAGUCACAGAAGAUAUUUUCCAACUUCUGUGUAUUUUUGCCAUAGGAGCAUGAGAAAUGGUAACUUGCUGUCAUAUUAAAUCCAUCACUUUUUGUGAUGAUUGGCCCAUUGCAUUCAUUUUUCGAAAAACCCUCUAAUCAUGUUUCUGGCCCAGUUGUGUUUUGGUUUUUGGAUUUAGGGGUUGGAGGUUUUUUUUUUUUUUUUUUUCCUAGUUAGAAGCCAUUGUUCUGUCAUAUAAGUUGCCAAUAUUUUCUUCAGUUUUUUAAUUUGUCUCUUACUCUGCUAUAGUCUGUAUUUUUUGCCAUGGGAUAAACUUUAAAGGAAUUGUAUACGUAAAGCAUUAACAUUACUGUUCCUGGAAUUACAGUUAUAAUCAGACUAUGUUUUUCUCCUAUCAUGUUUUUUUUUCUCCUAUCAUGUUAUAUAGAUGUUCAUAAAUGUUUAACAUUAAUAUUUGCAUGGAGUCAGUCUCUUACAUUUAAAAUUCUGAUUUAUUUGAAAUUUAAGUAGAGUCUACUGUAGAAGAAUGAAAUAAUUUUAUUUCUUUACAGAUAGCAAUCCAGGUAUCUUAACACUGGUUUUUAAGCUUUUUUUCUCCCUGUUGUUAAGAAUUUCUGGUGAGAUUUUCACUUUUGUUUCCAUGAAGAAUUCCAUCUGUUACUCAAUUUUUUUUAAAGGUCCAAAUGUUUACAAUGUAAACAGAAAUUUUCUGUCCCUAAAUAGGGAUUUAUCUUUUAAUUUUGAAAUAAAUGUAUUGAUUUUUUUCAGUCA
This is a long non-coding RNA of Canis lupus familiaris (dog), 6430 nucleotides long. RefSeq lists it as uncharacterized. The transcript is spliced from 2 exons. Lineage: Eukaryota; Metazoa; Chordata; Mammalia; Carnivora; Canidae. The record is from RefSeq and is a predicted model, not a curated record.